This is a long non-coding RNA of Salvia splendens (bonfire salvia), 940 nucleotides long. RefSeq lists it as uncharacterized. The record is from RefSeq and is a predicted model, not a curated record. The transcript has 2 exons. NCBI's taxonomy places the organism in Eukaryota, Viridiplantae, Streptophyta, Magnoliopsida, Lamiales, Lamiaceae.
UAUCAGGCAGAGCUUGUGCUGAAUGACAAACUUAUGCAUUUCACUAAUGUUGAUGUUCAAGAUGUUAAGAAGCCAAAUCCAUUAAUGGAACUUUAAUGUUCAAUGUUGUGUCAAUGAUUCAAUAGUUCCCGUGCUUAUGUCAGGUACUAGAAAUUUAAUUUUCAACACUCAACUACCAUUCCUCGAAAUUGAAUAUCAAUCUAUAAUUAAGAAAAGUUAGUAGACCAAAAAUCCUGUUACACUCUAUUUGCUUCAUACUUAUUUUGAUUUGGUGUCAGUGAUAUAAACAUUCGACUAUUGGAUUCUUUGUUAACUACCGAUGAUGAUGUUAAAAUAGAGUUUUUCUUUCUCUAAUAAUACUACUUGUAGAAAGUUAAUAUUGAUUUUUUUUAGUUUUGGAUUUAAUUGAAUUUCAAUAUUACCUUCAUUUUCAAGCAAGUCUAAAGUUCUUUGCUUUGAAGUUUUUCUUUUCAGACUGUUGUCCAUAUGUCAAGGGCUGGCAAGGUUUUCCGUGUUGUAUCAAAUUAAACCACAAAUUCCUCUGCUUGUGCAGGCCCCAGUUAAUUCCCCUUUAGAGUUUCGGCCCAGGCCGAGUGUUUCCUGCGUUAGCUGGGACCUGCGCGUAGACCAAGGGUGAACACUCAUCCUUUAUGGCAUGGACUACCAGAGUGAUGGUAUUCAGUCCUGUUCGCUCACCAUGGUUUCGACCCCAGCCAUCUACGGGACUGCACCUUGAACUAAAUCAGUUUUCUCCAUAAAAUUUACAGUGAACGAGAUCGCGAGGUAUUACAUGAUGCUUUAGUGAUGAUUUCUCUAGGUUCUGUUGAAUAAGUUUUAUGGAAUGUACAACAUAAAUUUACCUAUGUUGAUGGUUCCCUGAGUUUCUGUGAAUAAAAAAAAAUUAUGUAUCAAUAGAAAUCACCUCUGAUGAGUUUUAUAU